This 1043-nucleotide ribosomal RNA is filed under the name uncultured bacterium. Its description in RNAcentral is "bacterial SSU rRNA". It matches the Rfam family "Bacterial small subunit ribosomal RNA", at positions 93 to 1106 of the family's 1533-position model. The record is from RNAcentral.
UAGUGGCGAACGGGUGAGUAACACGUAGACAACCUGCCUUUGAGAUGGGGACAACAAUCCGAAAGGAUUGCUAAUACCGAAUGAGCUUCUUUCAUCGCAUGGUGAAAGAAGGAAAGAUGGCCUCUAUUUAUAAGCUAUCGCUCAAAGAUGGGUCUGCGUCUGAUUAGCUAGUUGGUGGGGUAAAGGCCUACCAAGGCGACGAUCAGUAGCCGGUCUGAGAGGAUGAACGGCCACAUUGGGACUGAGACACGGCCCAAACUCCUACGGGAGGCAGCAGUGGGGAAUCUUCCACAAUGGACGAAAGUCUGAUGGAGCAACGCCGCGUGAGUGAAGAAGGUUUUCGGAUCGUAAAGCUCUGUCUUUUGGGACGAAUGUGCAAUUUGUGAAUAAUGAGUUGCAAUGACGGUACCAGAGGAGGAAGCCACGGCUAACUACGUGCCAGCAGCCGCGGUAAUACGUAGGUGGCGAGCGUUGUCCGGAAUUAUUGGGCGUAAAGAGCGCGUAGGCGGAACUGCAAGUCUAAUUUAAAAGUGCGGAGCUCAACUCCGUGAGGGGUUAGAAACUGCAGAUCUUGAGUGCAGGAGAGGAAAGUGGAAUUCCCAGUGUAGCGGUGAAAUGCGUAGAGAUUGGGAGGAACACCAGUGGCGAAGGCGACUUUCUGGACUGUGUCUGACGCUGAGGCGCGAAAGCCAGGGGAGUGAACGGGAUUAGAUACCCCGGUAAUCCUGGCCGUAAACGAUGGGUACUAGGUGGAAGGAGGUAUCGACCCCUUCUGUGCCGGAGUUAACGCAAUAAGUACCCCGCCUGGGGGAGUACGACCGCAAGGUUGAAACUCAAAGGAAUUGACGGGGACCCGCACAAGCGGGUGGAGCGUGUUCUUUAAUUCGAUGCUAAACGAAGAACCUUACCAGGGCUUGACAUCCCUUGAAACUUUGCGAAAGCAGAGUGUGCCUUCGGGAACAAGGUGACAGGGUGAUGCAUGGCCGUCGUCAGCUCGUGUCGUGAAGAUGUUUUGGUUAAGUCCAUCAACGAGCGCAACCCUA